RNAcentral lists this long non-coding RNA (972 nucleotides) under Sorghum bicolor (sorghum). Its description in RNAcentral is "long non-coding RNA (SBIC_LNC009796)". The record is from RNAcentral. Lineage: Eukaryota; Viridiplantae; Streptophyta; Magnoliopsida; Poales; Poaceae.
UCACAAUAAACAUUUGAAUUGGUUUCAACAAUCAUUUCUAUUUGUUGUAGUGGACUGUUUGCUCUGUUGCAAUAGCACGUAUCUUCAGUCCGUUGAUAUUACGCUGGUUGCAUAGGUGCUAUCCUUUAUUGUCAUGGAAUGGAAUACUUCGAAAAUAAAUAAAAGUAGAAAACUGUAAAUGUAAAAAAAAAACAUAGAAAAGGAAAGAAAAUUAACUGGGCCGUCAACAGCCCAGGCACGCAGCUGGGCCUAGCAGCCAGGCAGACCAACGUGGGCUUUUGGCCACCAACCACAUGCUGCACGCACCAGAGAUGGCUAAAUCCACUAAGGCCUUGUUUAGUUGACAUCAAAAACCAAAACUUUUUCAAGAUUUCUCAUCACAUCGAAUCUUGCGUCACAUACAUAGAGCAUUAAAUAUAGACGAAAACAAAAACUAAUUGCACAGUUUAUCUGUAAAUCACGAGAUAAAUCUUAUGAGUCUAUUUAGUUCAUGAUUGAAUAAUAUUGUCAAAUAAAAAUAAAAAUGGUACAAUACCCCGAACCAAAAAAUUUGCGAACUAAACAAGGCCUAAAAAACAGAGAUGGCGAAAGGUACAUAAGCUUGAGGAAGCUUAAUUUAUACCCACCGCUAAAUUGUGAAAAUUUCAGUCUGCCUCAGCCAAUCUAUCCGCCUCCCUCCGCCUCGGUCCGUAAUCUGCCGGUGGCUACCGUGUGGAAGAGAAAAAAAAUAGAAUUUUUUUUAGAGUUCUCAAUGCAAAAUCUUCUAUACGCAUCAUGCUGUUGAGAAUAAAAAAAAUAUAGGGCCUAGGUGCAACCUAUCUGCCUCCCUCCGCCUCAGUCUGGAAUCUUACCAGUGGCUACCGUGUGGAAGAGAAAAAAAAUAGAAGUUCUUUAGGGUUUCCAAUAUAAAAUCUUCUAUAUACAUCACAAUAUAUUGAGAAUAAGGAAAAUACAGGGGUCUAGGUGCAAAGU